AGAGUUUGAUCCUGGCUCAGGACGAACGCUGGCGGCGUGCUUAACACAUGCAAGUCGAACGGUGAAGCCCUUCGGGGUGGAUCAGUGGCGAACGGGUGAGUAACACGUGAGCAACCUGCCCUUGACUCUGGGAUAACUCCGGGAAACCGGAGCUAAUACCGGAUAGUACUCCUGCGGGCAUCUGUGGGGGUGGAAAGUUUUUCGGUCAAGGAUGGGCUCGCGGCCUAUCAGCUUGUUGGUGGGGUGAUGGCCCACCAAGGCGACGACGGGUAGCCGGCCUGAGAGGGCGACCGGCCACACUGGGACUGAGACACGGCCCAGACUCCUACGGGAGGCAGCAGUGGGGAAUAUUGCGCAGUGGGCGGAAGCCUGACGCAGCGACGCCGCGUGAGGGAUGAAGGCCUUCGGGUUGUAAACCUCUUUCAGCAGGGAAGAAGCGAAAGUGACGGUACCUGCAGAAGAAGCACCGGCUAACUACGUGCCAGCAGCCGCGGUAAUACGUAGGGUGCAAGCGUUGUCCGGAAUUAUUGGGCGUAAAGAGCUCGUAGGCGGUCUGUCGCGUCUGCUGUGAAAACCUGGGGCUUAACUCCGGGCCUGCAGUGGGUACGGGCAGACUAGAGUGCGGUAGGGGAGACUGGAAUUCCUGGUGUAGCGGUGAAAUGCGCAGAUAUCAGGAGGAACACCGGUGGCGAAGGCGGGUCUCUGGGCCGUAACUGACGCUGAGGAGCGAAAGCAUGGGGAGCAAACAGGAUUAGAUACCCUAGUAGUCC
Molecule: ribosomal RNA, 770 nt
Filed under: uncultured bacterium
Lineage: Bacteria
Description: bacterial SSU rRNA
Rfam family: Bacterial small subunit ribosomal RNA
Source: RNAcentral